Molecule: ribosomal RNA, 497 nt
Filed under: uncultured bacterium
Lineage: Bacteria
Description: partial 16S ribosomal RNA
Rfam family: Bacterial small subunit ribosomal RNA
Source: RNAcentral
GAUGGACGCUGGCGGCGUGCCUAAUACAUGCAAGUCGAGCGAACGGACGAGAAGCUUGCUUCUCUGAUGUUAGCGGCGGACGGGUGAGUAACACGUGGAUAACCUACCUAUAAGACUGGGAUAACUUCGGGAAACCGGAGCUAAUACCGGAUGAUAUUUUGAACCGCAUGGUUCAAAAGUGAAAGACGGUCUUGCUGUCACUUAUAGAUGGAUCCGCGCUGCAUUAGCUAGUUGGUAAGGUAACGGCUUACCAAGGCAACGAUGCAUAGCCGGCCUGAGAGGGUGAUCGGCCACACUGGAACUGAGACACGGUCCAGACUCCUACGGGAGGCAGCAGUAGGGAAUCUUCCGCAAUGGGCGAAAGCCUGACGGAGCAACGCCGCGUGAGUGAUGAAGGUCUUCGGAUCGUAAAACUCUGUUAUUAGGGAAGAACAUAUGUGUAAGUAACUGUGCACAUCUUGACGGUACCUAAUCAGAAAGCCACGGCUAACUACGUG